CCUACGGGAGGCAGCAGUAGGGAAUCUUCCGCAAUGGACGAAAGUCUGACGGAGCAACGCCGCGUGAACGAUGAAGGCCUUCGGGUCGUAAAGUUCUGUUGUUAGGGAAGAACAAGUGUUAGUUGAAUAAGCUGGCACCUUGACGGUACCUAACCAGAAAGCCACGGCUAACUACGUGCCAGCAGCCGCGGUAAUACGUAGGUGGCAAGCGUUGUCCGGAAUUAUUGGGCGUAAAGCGCGCGCAGGCGGUUUCUUAAGUCUGAUGUGAAAGCCCCCGGCUCAACCGGGGAGGGUCAUUGGAAACUGGGAAACUUGAGUGCAGAAGAGGAAAGUGGAAUUCCAAGUGUAGCGGUGAAAUGCGUAGAGAUUUGGAGGAACACCAGUGGCGAAGGCGACUUUCUGGUCUGUAACUGACGCUGAGGCGCGAAAGCGUGGGGAGCAAACAGGAUUAGAUACCCUGGUAGUCCACGCUGUAAACGAUGAGUGCUAAGUGUUAGAGGGUUUCCGCCGUUUAGUGCUGAAGUUAACGCAUUAAGCACUCCGCCGUGGGGAGUACGGUCGCAAGACUAGAACUCAAAUGAAUUGACGGNUGAGACGUGCGAGACGACGACGAGGGAGAG
RNAcentral lists this ribosomal RNA (620 nucleotides) under uncultured bacterium. RNAcentral's name for it is "bacterial SSU rRNA". It matches the Rfam family "Bacterial small subunit ribosomal RNA", at positions 338 to 946 of the family's 1533-position model. The record is from RNAcentral.